AGGCGAGGGCGGUGGUGGAACGGGAUGGCCACUGCGCCAGCUGCUAGAAAUCUGGUACCGCGGAAGGAGGAGUAGGAGGAGGAGAUUUGGGAAGCAAGAGAGGAGGCGUAAUGGCAACGAACGGGAGAAGAUUUGAGGGAAGCAUGGGGUAAAAAAAAGCGAAAAAAGGCGGUGGAGGAGGGAGCGGAAGGAUUGGCUUCUUAUAUCGGCGUCCAGAUUCGCUCUGCUUCUUUCGAAUUCCGGAGAUCCGCUGCUAUCGUUCUCUGCUCGGAGAAGGAGGGGCCUUUUUUUGUGCCUUCCCAUUGGAGAGAAGAGAAAGCAGUGACGCGGAAUAAAAAAAGGAGGAAAAGGUGAGUGUAAUUUUCUAGCCUUUUCGAAGGGGAAUUUUCUCCGUGAUGGAGAAAAUUUUGCCUAUGUGCCAUUAGAAACGGCUGGUGUUGGAAUCUUUCUGGACAUUUGUCUCUUGAGAUUUCUUUUUGCUAUAUGGUUAUGGUAUAAUUAUGGCUAGUUCAUCAUAAAUUGGCAUCAUCUACGUGCAAAAUUAGAAGAUGGAGACUACUACUAACAAUGGUUCUCAGCAAAAAAGUAUAGGUUCUUCAUUUAGUCAUCCUAGCAUGGUCUCUUUCCAGCCAGGAACAGUAGAUAGCUCAACAGAGAUGGUUAAUGGUUACAUACCCACUUUUGAUGGAAACAGUAGCAUGGCCAGCAUUUUUAUGUGCGCUGGCUCUGGUGUGAUCAAUCACAUGGAUACAGCAACUCAAGCUCAGUACACUCCUGGAUCUGUUCUUCAGGAACUGAUGCCUAGGUUUACAAAUGUUUCUGGUUCACCUGCGUAUUGGUCUCCAGGAGAAGUUGAUAUAUUAAACAGAGGCCUCAUAAGCUUUGCAAGUGAAUCGAGUAUACAACAGUACUCCAAGAUAGCUGCUAUGCUGCCUCAGAAGACUAUACGGGAUGUUGCUUUGAGAUGCCAAUGGAUUAUUAGCAAGGAAAAUGUAAAAAGGAGGAAGACAGGAGAAUAUUAUGCAUCAAAAAUGAUGAAAGACACGAAGGAAAGGAGGACGGGCAUUCCCUCAGCAAGUACUUCUAUGGCUCCUGAUCUACUAACAAUGCAUCAUUUGAACAUCCAUGAUCAACUUCUAUCCGAAGAAAUGAAGAGUAUUCUCAUAAAAAAUGAAACAUGUCUAAGAGCAAUUGCACAAAAUCUUGAGGGAGGCAUGAUGCAAAACAACUUAAGUUUGUUCCGUUAUAUGAGAAACAACAUUGCCACCGCGGAGAAUAGAAUAAAUACUCUACCUAGAGGAAUGAACCAACUUCCUGGGUCAUUGAAACAAAUACCUCCUAUUCCAGUAUCCGCAAACGAUGAGCUUCUCAGCAGCCUCAUACCUCUGAAUGAACAUGUUAUCUACACCACACCUGGUGGAAGCAGCAGUAACUUGCAGUCGGAUCUAACAUGCUACAGACCUCCUAAUACAGGCUGACUUACUGAACUCAAUUAUGUAAGAUUCUCUCACAAAAUUCUGCACAACCUCUCUUCCCAGCUUUCUCGAUAGAGUGUUCGGUCGGGAAACCAUCAGAAGAGGAGCUGUAAAUAGUAGUAGUAGUGAACCAGGCACAAGGUUACAAGAAACCUCCUUUUCAAGGUUGAAUCCGACAAGUAGGCUAUAACGAUGGUCAAUUUCUUGCUUCACUUUGUCGUCACCACCUUGCGCCCAAUCUUCACCUCGAUUGUGAAUGGUAUCAUUCGUUAUUGAUCUAUAAAGGCCUCCUUCCUUUUGUUGUUGCGAUGGAACACUACUUUGAGGCUAUGGAAUAUUGGCCGACCUGACAUAGAUAGGGAUCAAAGGAUGAUGACACAUGACACAGGUAGAAGCUGAAGGAAAUCUUAGGCAGUAAGGAGGGGAACACUAUCUUGCUACGGAGACACUGAGACGAGCGAAUUAUCUUUUGCCAUCAGGAACACUAUCUUGCCAUGUCAU
Molecule: RNA transcript, 1976 nt
Organism: Zingiber officinale
Lineage: Eukaryota; Viridiplantae; Streptophyta; Magnoliopsida; Zingiberales; Zingiberaceae
Exons: 10
Source: RefSeq, a predicted model, not a curated record